This 503-nucleotide ribosomal RNA is filed under the name uncultured bacterium. RNAcentral's name for it is "partial 16S ribosomal RNA". It matches the Rfam family "Bacterial small subunit ribosomal RNA", at positions 30 to 523 of the family's 1533-position model. The record is from RNAcentral.
AUUGAACGCUGGCGGCAGGCUUAACACAUGCAAGUCGAGCGGGGUGAUGGUGCUUGCACUAUCACUUAGCGGCGGACGGGUGAGUAAUGCUUAGGAAUCUGCCUAUUAGUGGGGGACAACAUCUCGAAAGGGAUGCUAAUACCGCAUACGUCCUACGGGAGAAAGCAGGGGAUCACUUGUGACCUUGCGCUAAUAGAUGAGCCUAAGUCGGAUUAGCUAGUUGGUGGGGUAAAGGCCUACCAAGGCGACGAUCUGUAGCGGGUCUGAGAGGAUGAUCCGCCAAACUGGGACGGGGGCACGGCCCAGACUCCUACGGGAGGCAGCAGUGGGGAAUAUUGGACAAUGGGGGGAACCCUGAUCUAGCCAUGCCGCGUGUGUGAAGAAGGCCUUAUGGUUGUAAAGCACUUUAAGCGAGGAGGAGGCUCUUUUGGUUAAUACCCAAGAUGAGUGGACGUUACUCGCAGAAUAAGCACCGGCUAACUCUGUGCCAGCAGCCGCCGUAA